GCCUGAGCUCUGCUCCAGAGCUCCUCCAGCCCCGUGAUCAGGCACUAACUAUAACAACUGAACCGAUGGAAGUAAAUCCUACCCCAGCGGGGCACUGGCAGGAUUAAAGCAGAUGAAGAAGCUCAUCCCUGUGGACCUUUCUCUUGAAUGCCUACUAUGAGUCACUCAGCAAGAGAGGCACCCAGCUCCCUCAAGGUCUGCAGUGCCUCGGAGGCCCACUUCCCUCCAUGACACAGUCUCUGAACAUAUUAUUCCUCACGGAUGAUCACCUUCUUAACUCCAUCCAGACGUGUGCCUCUGUCUCACUAUUUAGCGUUGUCC
RNAcentral lists this long non-coding RNA (321 nucleotides) under Homo sapiens (human). RNAcentral's name for it is "non-protein coding lnc-SNX19-9:6". The record is from RNAcentral. Lineage: Eukaryota; Metazoa; Chordata; Mammalia; Primates; Hominidae.